UGCCAGCAGCCGCGGUAAUACGGAGGGUGCAAGCGUUGUUCGGAAUCACUGGGCGUAAAGCGCGCGUAGGCGGCCUGUCGUGUCUGAUGUGAAAGCCCGGGGCUCAACCCCGGAAGUGCAUUGGAAACUGGCGAACUUGAGUAUGGGAGAGGAAAGUGGAAUUCCGAGUGUAGGAGUGAAAUCCGUAGAUAUUCGGAGGAACACCAGUGGCGAAGGCGGCUUUCUGGACCAAUACUGACGCUGAGGUGCGAAAGCUAGGGGAGCAAACGGGAUUAGAUA
RNAcentral lists this ribosomal RNA (279 nucleotides) under uncultured bacterium. Its description in RNAcentral is "partial 16S ribosomal RNA". It matches the Rfam family "Bacterial small subunit ribosomal RNA", at positions 506 to 784 of the family's 1533-position model. The record is from RNAcentral.